RNAcentral lists this ribosomal RNA (253 nucleotides) under uncultured bacterium. Its description in RNAcentral is "partial 16S ribosomal RNA". It matches the Rfam family "Bacterial small subunit ribosomal RNA", at positions 524 to 776 of the family's 1533-position model. The record is from RNAcentral.
UACGGAGGGUGCGAGCGUUAUCCGGAAUUACUGGGUUUAAAGGGUGCGUAGGCGGCUGUGUAAGUCAGGAGUGAAAGCUUGCGGCUCAACCGUAAAAUUGCUUUUGAUACUGCACGGCUGGAAUCAGGAUGAGGUCAGCGGAAUGUGGCAUGUAGCGGUGAAAUGCAUAGAUAUGCCAUAGAACACCAAUUGCGAAGGCAGCUGGCUAGACCUGUAUUGACGCUGAGGCACGAAAGCGUGGGGAGCGAACAGG